Long non-coding RNA from Amphimedon queenslandica, 512 nucleotides. RefSeq lists it as uncharacterized. Lineage: Eukaryota; Metazoa; Porifera; Demospongiae; Haplosclerida; Niphatidae. The transcript has 2 exons. The record is from RefSeq and is a predicted model, not a curated record.
GUCUGAGUUAAUUGGUAGGUGUCGUUAAUGAUUAUGGCCCAUCCUACAUUGUAGUGAAGAUGUGUGGCUUAUUCUUGGUAACAAAUUGACUCUGGCUGGGACUUAAAGUAUUAUAGGACCUUCUUUCUCGAUAUUUUUGGGCGACGGGCCGUCUUUCACUAUCAUUGGGGACUUGUUGUACUCAAUCCUGGCCUGUCCGAGGCUUACCUUAUCCAUUACAACUGUAGUUACCUAGUGAGAUGGUUUUUGAUGUACACUAAUGAAGUCUUACUCCUUCUCUAGGUGAUGGAUCAUCUUUUACCAAGAUAGGACAGCUUAUAUUCAUUAUACCUUUUUAAUUGUACAACAUUACUGUAUAUACUGAGAUAUUUAACUGUUGUUUAAUUACUGUGUAGUGUGUAGACUGUUUUACCUGUAUUUUAGUGUAGUAUCAAGUUUAUUAUAACAAUAACAGUGACUAUUUAGCUAACUAUUAGGUGUGAUGAUGGCAGUAGUGUCGUUAUUACUGAAAA